GGGGCCGUCGUCUAGCUUUCAUGACAAAGUUCAUGGCUAAAGUGCAAGUGGUCUUGGGUUCAAAUCCCAACGGCCCCG
This 78-nucleotide transfer RNA is filed under the name Nitrososphaerota archaeon. RNAcentral's name for it is "Thaumarchaeota archaeon tRNA-Phe". It matches the Rfam family "tRNA". From Rfam's summary of the family: Transfer RNA (tRNA) molecules are approximately 80 nucleotides in length. Their secondary structure includes four short double-helical elements and three loops (D, anti-codon, and T loops). The record is from RNAcentral. Lineage: Archaea; Thermoproteati; Nitrososphaerota.